RNAcentral lists this ribosomal RNA (253 nucleotides) under uncultured bacterium. Its description in RNAcentral is "partial 16S ribosomal RNA". It matches the Rfam family "Bacterial small subunit ribosomal RNA", at positions 524 to 776 of the family's 1533-position model. The record is from RNAcentral.
UACGGAGGGUGCAAGCGUUGUUCGGAAUCAUUGGGCGUAAAGCGCGCGUAGGCGGUUAGGCAAGUCAGUUGUGAAAGCCCGGGGCCCAACCCCGGAAUUGCAUCUGAAACUGCCUGGCUAGAGUCCCGGAGAGGAAGGCAGAAUUCCCGGUGUAGGGGUGAAAUCCGUAGAUAUCGGGAGGAAUACCAGCGGCGAAGGCGGCCUUCUGGACGGUGACUGACGCUGAGACGCGAAAGCGUGGGGAGCAAACAGG